ACAUCAAAAAAGAAAGAAAAAAAAAACAGUGGGCUUUUACCUCUAACCCUGAUCCGCUGCUCCAGAAACCUUCUGCUAGUUUUACUGGAGAGCUAUUUGGACCAAGCAGCUAUAGUCUGAAUAUUAUCUUUACAACAAAUACACUUGGGCUUCAAAAGGGCGAGACCUCCCUGUAAAUAUGUGAGCAACAUGCAUCCAUUAGUACAUCAACAAAAUGCCCAUCCAGCCCAUUCUCUGUUUGUAUCUUAAUGGAUUGUUGACUACUGUAGACAUUUUGCAGAAACAGUCAGUCCUGCAUUGGAGUCAUGUGCGUUGCUCGGUGGCACAAUGGUGAAUCAGGACGAUUGUGAUCACAGAAAAAACUGGCUCACAUCGUCCAACCUCUGGACCAGCAGCUCUCAUGAGGGAUCACCUCUCCAUGAACAUUGUCUACGUGUCAAGCUUGCCAUGGACACACAUGGCGUGGGAGAUACUUGGGUUGUGACAUUUGUCACAACUGAAGCUGUGUGAUUG
Molecule: long non-coding RNA, 513 nt
Organism: Cyprinus carpio carpio
Lineage: Eukaryota; Metazoa; Chordata; Actinopteri; Cypriniformes; Cyprinidae
Source: Ensembl